GAAAUUUUCUGUUGACAAAUUCCUUUUUGUUAUUUCAUUUCUCUAUCGAUUUUCUUUCAUCAAAUUUAUAAGAACCGAGUGACUGACAUCUAGUUGUAAGCUUAUUAACUAGGUUUACAUGUAAAGCAAGAUUGAAGCAACAGAAAUGUAAAUUUCACCCUCAGUACGCAAUCAUUAACACUAGCUCCUGGGCCAUAUUACCCGCUAGAGAUGAAAGAGCACUAGCAAUAGCAAAAAAUUGGUCCAGUAGCAGCCUCAAUUAAUGCGAGUCCUCAUCCUUUUCAGCUUUAUCAUAAAGGAAUGUACGAUGAUAUAAGCUGUUCUUCGAAUACAGUUAAUCAUGCAAUGCUUAUUGUUGGUUAUACAAAAGAUGCCUGGAUUUUGAAGAAUUGGUGGGGUAACCAUUGGGGGGAAAAUGGAUAUAUGAAGCUCAGAAGACGUUAAAAUAGAUGUGGAGUGGCGGAUUAUGCUGCAUACGCUUUACUUUAAACUCCAGUUCAAAAUGGGUCAGAUAGAACUACAGUCUUCAACAGCAACACAUUUUUAUUCACUUUAGCUAAGAGAUUUUGAUGAUUUUUACAAGUUCAGAACUACUUAUAGGAUAUUAAUCGUAUUUCCUUUAUAUUUUUUUCAGUUGAUAUUUACUCUGAGAAUGAC
Harmonia axyridis is the source of this 657-nucleotide long non-coding RNA. RefSeq lists it as uncharacterized. Lineage: Eukaryota; Metazoa; Arthropoda; Insecta; Coleoptera; Coccinellidae. The record is from RefSeq and is a predicted model, not a curated record. The transcript has 3 exons.